UGGGAACUCUUCAUCCUCCCAGGUAC
This 26-nucleotide non-coding RNA is filed under the name Homo sapiens (human). Lineage: Eukaryota; Metazoa; Chordata; Mammalia; Primates; Hominidae. The record is from RNAcentral.